RNAcentral lists this non-coding RNA (21 nucleotides) under Arabidopsis thaliana (thale cress). The record is from RNAcentral. Lineage: Eukaryota; Viridiplantae; Streptophyta; Magnoliopsida; Brassicales; Brassicaceae.
UUGGUUUCGAUAUGUAUAAGU